UUUCCGCCUUCACGAAAUAAUCAAUUUCAUUUCAUUUCAUUUCCCAUCGAAACCAAACAAUCUUAACCACACCAUCGAAACCCUAUCCUCUCUACACCAUCGCAUCCCUCUCCUCUAUACACCAUGGUCUUGUAGCCAUGAGGAAGAUGGGUGUAAAGCCUUCUCCUCUCUACAUCUCGGCUUAAUCUAACCCUCUUAAAACCUAUCUAACUUGUGGCUGUUACGAAAGCCUAUCUCUCUCAAUACCCAAAUUUAGGUCGAAAUCUAACUACAGUGGAGCAAAAUUCCUCAUUCCAGGACCGAGUGAUUCCAAGUAGCAGUGCCCCUUUAAUAAGUUCAGAUUGGUUAGGCUGCGUGUUGGGGUUUAUCUGUGUAGCAGUUGGCGUUAAUUAGGUAGGCUUUUGCAAUUGAAGUUUGCAUUCGUGAAGGCAAACAAAUUAAGGGUUGAAAUUCACCUAAACAAUCGCGAGUGUAAUGUCAUUAGCUCAACAAAAAAGGGCUGGAGAUUUAGGAGUGUAGAUGAGAUAUCUCAGAGAUUUAUAUAGACUGUAAUAGUCCAUUUAGAAAUUUGAAUAAUAUCUUGGAAAAAGAAGGCUGCUGGAGACCUUUCACUUCCCAAUUAAACAAUCAAGAGCUGUUUUAUCGAAAAACUGAAUAUAUUAUACACAGCUGUAAAAUAUGCAUGUUUCUACAUUAAUGUCUGUAGGUAUAUUUAUGUAAA
Molecule: long non-coding RNA, 721 nt
Organism: Ipomoea nil (Japanese morning glory)
Lineage: Eukaryota; Viridiplantae; Streptophyta; Magnoliopsida; Solanales; Convolvulaceae
Exons: 5
Source: RefSeq, a predicted model, not a curated record